This 1329-nucleotide ribosomal RNA is filed under the name Bacillus bingmayongensis. RNAcentral's name for it is "bacterial LSU rRNA". It matches the Rfam family "Bacterial large subunit ribosomal RNA", at positions 1583 to 2925 of the family's 2925-position model. The record is from RNAcentral. Lineage: Bacteria; Bacillati; Bacillota; Bacilli; Caryophanales; Bacillaceae.
GAGCGAAGUCUUUGAUUCCCCGCUGCCAAGAAAAGCUUCUAGCGAGAUAAAAGGUGCCUGUACCGCAAACCGACACAGGUAGGCGAGGAGAGAAUCCUAAGGUGAGCGAGAGAACUCUGGUUAAGGAACUCGGCAAAAUGACCCCGUAACUUCGGGAGAAGGGGUGCUUUCUUAACGGAAAGCCGCAGUGAAUAGGCCCAAGCGACUGUUUAGCAAAAACACAGGUCUCUGCGAAGCCGUAAGGCGAAGUAUAGGGGCUGACACCUGCCCGGUGCUGGAAGGUUAAGGAGAGGGGUUAGCGCAAGCGAAGCUCUGAACUGAAGCCCCAGUAAACGGCGGCCGUAACUAUAACGGUCCUAAGGUAGCGAAAUUCCUUGUCGGGUAAGUUCCGACCCGCACGAAAGGUGUAACGAUUUGGGCACUGUCUCAACCAGAGACUCGGUGAAAUUAUAGUACCUGUGAAGAUGCAGGUUACCCGCGACAGGACGGAAAGACCCCGUGGAGCUUUACUGUAGCCUGAUAUUGAAUUUUGGUACAGUUUGUACAGGAUAGGCGGGAGCCUUUGAAGCCGGAGCGCUAGCUUCGGUGGAGGCGCUGGUGGGAUACCGCCCUGACUGUAUUGAAAUUCUAACCUACGGGUCUUAUCGACCCGGGAGACAGUGUCAGGUGGGCAGUUUGACUGGGGCGGUCGCCUCCUAAAGUGUAACGGAGGCGCCCAAAGGUUCCCUCAGAAUGGUUGGAAAUCAUUCGUAGAGUGCAAAGGCAUAAGGGAGCUUGACUGCGAGACCUACAAGUCGAGCAGGGACGAAAGUCGGGCUUAGUGAUCCGGUGGUUCCGCAUGGAAGGGCCAUCGCUCAACGGAUAAAAGCUACCCCGGGGAUAACAGGCUUAUCUCCCCCAAGAGUCCACAUCGACGGGGAGGUUUGGCACCUCGAUGUCGGCUCAUCGCAUCCUGGGGCUGUAGUCGGUCCCAAGGGUUGGGCUGUUCGCCCAUUAAAGCGGUACGCGAGCUGGGUUCAGAACGUCGUGAGACAGUUCGGUCCCUAUCCGUCGUGGGCGUAGGAAAUUUGAGAGGAGCUGUCCUUAGUACGAGAGGACCGGGAUGGACGCACCGCUGGUGUACCAGUUGUUCUGCCAAGGGCAUAGCUGGGUAGCUAUGUGCGGAAGGGAUAAGUGCUGAAAGCAUCUAAGCAUGAAGCCCCCCUCAAGAUGAGAUUUCCCAUAGCGUAAGCUAGUAAGAUCCCUGAAAGAUGAUCAGGUUGAUAGGUUCGAGGUGGAAGCAUGGUGACAUGUGGAGCUGACGAAUACUAAUAGAUCGAGGACUUAACC